RNAcentral lists this ribosomal RNA (461 nucleotides) under uncultured bacterium. RNAcentral describes it as "partial 16S ribosomal RNA". It matches the Rfam family "Bacterial small subunit ribosomal RNA", at positions 338 to 795 of the family's 1533-position model. The record is from RNAcentral.
CCUACGGGUGGCAGCAGUGAGGAAUAUUGGUCAAUGGGCGCGAGCCUGAACCAGCCAAGUCGCGUGAGGGAGGACGGCCCUACGGGUUGUAAACCUCUUUUGCCGGGGAGCAACGGGCGCCACGUGUGGCGUCACUGAGAGUACCCGGAGAAAAAGCAUCGGCUAACUCCGUGCCAGCAGCCGCGGUAAUACGGAGGAUGCGAGCGUUAUCCGGAAUUACUGGGUGUAAAGGGAGCGUAGACGGCGAGGUAAGCCUGAAGUGGAAGCACGCGGCCCAACCGCGGAACUGCUUUGGGAACUGUGUUGCUGGAGUAUGGGAGGGGUAAGCGGAAUUCCUGGUGUAGCGGUGAAAUGCGUAGAUAUCAGGAGGAACACCGGUGGCGAAGGCGGCUUACUGGACCAUAACUGACGUUGAGGCUCGAAAGCGUGGGGAGCGAACAGGAUUAGAUACCCUGGUAGUC